CCUACGGGAGGCAGCAGUGAGGAAUAUUGCGCAAUGGGCGAAAGCCUGACGCAGCGACGCCGCGUGAGGGAUGAAGGUCUUCGGAUCGUAAACCUCUGUCAGCAGGGAAGAACGGUCACGGGGCUAAUCAGCAGUGAAUUGACGGUACCGGCAAAGGAAGCACCGGCUAACUCCGUGCCAGCAGCCGCGGUAAUACGGAGGGUGCGAGCGUUAAGCGGACUUACGGGGCGUAAAGCGCUCGUAGGCGGUAUGUCCAGUCAAGGGUGAAAUCCCCGCGCGCAACGUGGGAACUGCCUUUGAAACUGGCAACCUGGCGUGUGUGAGAGGCUAGUGGACUUCCAGUUGU
Molecule: ribosomal RNA, 346 nt
Filed under: uncultured bacterium
Lineage: Bacteria
Description: partial 16S ribosomal RNA
Rfam family: Bacterial small subunit ribosomal RNA
Source: RNAcentral